GGGACGAUAGCUCAGUCGGUAGAGCAACUGGCUUUUAACCAGUGGGUCCAGGGUUCGAGCCCCUGUCGUCCUACCA
Molecule: transfer RNA, 76 nt
Filed under: Kiritimatiellaceae bacterium TMED266
Lineage: Bacteria; Pseudomonadati; Kiritimatiellota; Kiritimatiellia; Kiritimatiellales; Kiritimatiellaceae
Also listed under: 2 other names
Description: tRNA-Lys
Rfam family: tRNA
About the family: Transfer RNA (tRNA) molecules are approximately 80 nucleotides in length. Their secondary structure includes four short double-helical elements and three loops (D, anti-codon, and T loops).
Source: RNAcentral